Talpa occidentalis (Iberian mole) is the source of this 375-nucleotide long non-coding RNA. RefSeq lists it as uncharacterized. NCBI's taxonomy places the organism in Eukaryota, Metazoa, Chordata, Mammalia, Eulipotyphla, Talpidae. The transcript is spliced from 3 exons. The record is from RefSeq and is a predicted model, not a curated record.
CAGAUGCCUGUGGACCUACCCAUAACCCACACUGGAAGAUUUUGACUCAUAGAGAGAGCCUGUGCCAAAUGAAGACUUCAAACCUGUCAUUAGAGCUUUGAAGCCAGUGAGAUCACCCCUGCCACCCAGGGAUGCACUCCCCGUGACUUCAGCUGGUGUUCACGUGAGGGGGCUUCCAUGGCAAAGCUGAAGCAGCAUGUGAUCUGAAAGUCCCUUGCGGCUGUCGAGCUCCACAGAUGAGAGGAAGACAAAAAUAUGACCAGAAGACAAAAUACCCUGAGGCUACCUCGUGCAUGAAAACUUCCCUAGGUCAGGAGCGGCUGUCUCACUUUUAGAGCAAGGCCACAGCCAUCUAGGUGAGUGGGUUUAACAGGG